Molecule: ribosomal RNA, 253 nt
Filed under: uncultured bacterium
Lineage: Bacteria
Description: partial 16S ribosomal RNA
Rfam family: Bacterial small subunit ribosomal RNA
Source: RNAcentral
UACGUAGGGUGCAAGCGUUAUUCGGAAUUACUGGGCGUAAAGCGUGCGCAGGCGGUUUUGUAAGUCUGUCGUGAAAGCCCCGGGCUUAACCUGGGGAUUGCGAUGGAGACUGCAAGGCUUGAAUCUGGCAGAGGGGGGUAGAAUUCCACGUGUAGCAGUGAAAUGCGUAGAGAUGUGGAGGAACACCGAUGGCGAAGGCAGCCCCCUGGGUCAAGAUUGACGCUCAUGCACGAAAGCGUGGGGAGCAAACAGG